UGCAAUGACAUGAGUUUCCUUGUUUCCAUGUUCUCUAGCAGCACAACCCGGACCAGCCUCAAACCUCUCCAGCAGACCCUGAACAGGGUGUAACGACCCCGCUGGACCAGCCACAGAGCAUCGCAUCUCCAUACUUGGAGCUGAGGAAGAACAGCAGAUGCAUGACUAUGUAGUGUGAUAAAAAAUGAAACCAUAACUGCAGUGGGGUGUACACCAAUAUUCCUCGUUAUCGCAUAACGACAGUUCUAAUUUCGCUCUGCUCCUCUCUAUGAUGUGUGGGUGACACAAUAGACAGACUGGUGUCUGCGUGCUGAGGCUAAAUCCCUGCCGGAGGGGACUGGAAAAUUUCCCACAAGAAACUAUGUAACAGUUUUCACUUUCGUUCUGACACAUAAAAUAAAGACCUUUGACUUGUGGCUGCUUGAGCAGAGGAAAUACCACA
This is a long non-coding RNA of Micropterus dolomieu (smallmouth bass), 442 nucleotides long. RefSeq lists it as uncharacterized. The record is from RefSeq and is a predicted model, not a curated record. NCBI's taxonomy places the organism in Eukaryota, Metazoa, Chordata, Actinopteri, Centrarchiformes, Centrarchidae. The transcript has 2 exons.